AAAAAACGUUAUGCUAAGCAAAAUAAGACUGACACAGAAGGACGAGUAUUAUAUGAUUCCACUUACACAAAAUGCCUAUAAUAGGUAAAUUCAUUAGACAAUUAGAAAGUGUAUCAGAGGAGGUUGGGGGGAUGCUGAGGGAAGGGGAAAAGAAAAAAGAAAAUCAAGGGGUGGGAAGCAAAUGGCUGCAGGGUAGAAGGGGAGUGGGCUGCCGCUUGGGUGUGUGGGUGUCAGAGGGAGACAGGACAGGAGAGUCAGGUCCUGCGCGCAGGGGCCUCUGCGCUCCCGCGGGACGCAGCUGUGUUUGUCUGGGGUGGCGGCAGCGUGGCAGGAGCGAGGGGCGCCCCGACCCGUCCCCUCCGCCCUCCAAGACCCCUGCCGACUCCAGCCCGUCCCUGUCUCACCCUCUUUAUUUAACAAAGAGCGGAGAGACUGUAAAUGACCCUGAGCAGCGUCGCGGCGAGCAGGGCCCCUGGGGCACCCCACAGGCGUCAUCCUGGCCGCGUAAGCGCCGAGCUCGGGCACCGGGUGGUUUGGCGUGCUUGUGCACUUGCUCCGUUUUCUCUAAACUGCCGCGAUGAAUGUCAGUCCCCAGAGCCGGAACCGUUCCCGGUUUUCUCCACUUGGAUCUGAGAACUCUGACCCUCCAGCCCGGCGAGCUCUUUGCCAGGGUGACAGGAGGAAAUGUCCCCGCAUCCGUGCCUGCUUUCCCAGAUGGGACCCUCCAGCAGUCCCCUCCACUGCCCUUGCUUCCUCCUAACCGCUUCCCCCCAGCGACCGCGGAAGGCGCUUCCUCCCCCGCAGCGCGAGCCCCAAGCUCCUCUAGCGCCCCAGCUCUCCCCGCCCCCUCCCGACCUUGUUUCAUAUGACCCCUCCCCCGCACAUACUCAAUUUCAUCUUCCCAAGGCGCCCACUCUCCACAUCCUGAGGAAAAAAAGAACCGGCUGCUGUUCUAUGUUAUUGUCAUACUUCUUUCCUCCCGAGCACUACACAACUUGAACAACUUUUUUUUUCUUUUUUUGAGACAGGGUCUCACACUGUCGCCCAGGCUGGAGUACAGUGGCAUGAUGAUGGCUCACUGCAGCCUCGCCCUCUCUGGACUCAGGUGAUCUUCCUGCCUCAGCUUCCCAAGAAGCUGAUACUACGGUCGCGUGCCACCACUAUCGGCUAAUUUUAUUGUUAUUAUUUUUUAACCACAGGGUCUCGCUAUGUUGCCCAGGCUGGUCUCGAACCCCUAGGCUCAAGGGAUCCUCCUGCCUUAGCCUCCCAAAGCGCUGAGAUUACAGGCGUGAGCCACCGCGUCCCGUAGUAAAUACUAUUCCAAGGAAACGGCACCUGAGUUUGAGAUAAAAGAUGAAGGUUUACUGCAGGGAAGGAGCAUUGGCCCGGGUGGCCAGAGGCAAGGGUACGAACCGACCCUGCCCUUCUCCCUGCCUGGUUCCGCCUUCAGCAAAUUGUUCCACACAUCUCUGGUUUCCUCCCCACAUGAUCCCAAGGCCCUGCUGGCUCUAGCCUCUGUGAGGCUAGAAUUACAAUUCCAUUCCUCCCCAGCCACGCCCCAUCUCUUGCUCCCUGUGCUGGCGCUUUCCCCAAUCAGCCACACUUUCCUUUCCCAUUCACUGAGCCUGUGCAAAGCCCUGUCUCUUAUUCUGAAUAUCUAGAUCCUAUUCACCUUUGAAGACCCGACUUGGCCACGUUUCUUCCCAAAGCCUACUGCAUGCCCUCUGUGGGAGGAACCGCUCUGUCCUUGCAAAGCCACUGUCUGUAGCACUUUCUCUGUAUCUUACCAAUGGCAUCGCCCACUAUGCAUGGGGUGCUGUUCCAUACCUGCCCUUCUUCCAAUGCCAUCUAUGUGUCUGGCAAGACCCCAGCAUAGCACUUUGCCCACGGUAAAGGAUAUGGUUUUGGAAGUCCCAAGACCUGGGUCCACAUCCCAGCUCUGACACUAAAUGUAUUACCUUGAACAUGUCACAUAGCCUUUCUGGGCCUUAAUUUCCCCAAAUGUAAAAUGGAAAUAAUAGCUUAUUUCAUAGUGUUGCUGUGUUGAUUAGCUGAGACACUAUAUAAGAAAAUGCUUUGUGAACUGUAAAGCUAUUUACAGACAUAAAUUAUAAUAGUAAAGAUAUAUAUUAUUCA
This is a long non-coding RNA of Macaca mulatta (Rhesus monkey), 2136 nucleotides long. RefSeq lists it as uncharacterized. The record is from RefSeq and is a predicted model, not a curated record. NCBI's taxonomy places the organism in Eukaryota, Metazoa, Chordata, Mammalia, Primates, Cercopithecidae.